This 460-nucleotide ribosomal RNA is filed under the name uncultured bacterium. RNAcentral's name for it is "partial 16S ribosomal RNA". It matches the Rfam family "Bacterial small subunit ribosomal RNA", at positions 338 to 795 of the family's 1533-position model. The record is from RNAcentral.
CCUACGGGUGGCAGCAGUGAGGAAUAUUGGUCAAUGGGCGGGAGCCUGAACCAGCCAAGUCGCGUGAGGGAAGACGGUCCUACGGAUUGUAAACCUCUUUAGUCGGGGAGCAAUGCCGGGCUCGUGUGCCCGGAGGGAGAGUACCCGCAGAAUAAGCAUCGGCUAACUCCGUGCCAGCAGCGGCGGUAAUACGGAGGAUGCGAGCGUUAUCCGGAUUUAUUGGGUUAAAAGGGUGCGUAGGCGGAUGUUUAAGUCAGCGGUAAAAUGGCGGGGCCCAACCCGGGCCGGCCGUUGAAACUGGGGAUCUUGAGUGGGCGAGAAGUAUGCGGAAUGCGUGGUGUAGCGGUGAAAUGCAAAGAUAUCACGCAGAACUCCGAUUGCGAAGGCAGCAUACCGGCGCCCGACUGACGCUGAGGCACGAAAGCGUGGGGAUCGAACAGGAUUAGAUACCCGGGUAGUC